AGAGUUUGAUCAUGGCUCAGGAUGAACGCUAGCGGCAGGCCUAACACAUGCAAGUCGAGGGGUAGAAGGUGCUUGCACCUUUGAGACCGGCGCACGGGUGCGUAACGCGUAUGCAACCUACCUUCCACAGGGGAAUAGCCCAGAGAAAUUUGGAUUAAUGCCCCAUGGCACAGCGAGACGGCAUCGUCUUGCUGUUAAAGUAACAACGGUGGAAGAUGGGCAUGCGUCCCAUUAGCUAGUUGGUAAGGUAACGGCUUACCAAGGCUAUGAUGGGUAGGGGUCCUGAGAGGGAGAUCCCCCACACUGGUACUGAGACACGGACCAGACUCCUACGGGAGGCAGCAGUGAGGAAUAUUGGUCAAUGGUCGCAAGACUGAACCAGCCAUGCCGCGUGCAGGAUGACGGUCCUAUGGAUUGUAAACUGCUUUUGUACGGGAAGAAACACUCCUACGUGUAGGAGCUUGACGGUACCGUAAGAAUAAGGAUCGGCUAACUCCGUGCCAGCCGCCGCGGUAAUAC
RNAcentral lists this ribosomal RNA (519 nucleotides) under uncultured bacterium. RNAcentral's name for it is "bacterial SSU rRNA". It matches the Rfam family "Bacterial small subunit ribosomal RNA", at positions 8 to 526 of the family's 1533-position model. The record is from RNAcentral.